This 591-nucleotide ribosomal RNA is filed under the name Triticum aestivum (bread wheat). RNAcentral describes it as "partial small subunit ribosomal RNA". Lineage: Eukaryota; Viridiplantae; Streptophyta; Magnoliopsida; Poales; Poaceae. The record is from RNAcentral.
AUGCUCCGCCUCCGUCUCCGAUGGCGCGCCCUCUCCCAGCUCCUCUCGGCCCCCUCCGCCUCUCCCAUCUCCCAGCUCCUCGGCUAUCACAGCCGCCUCCUCUCCGCGGCCGCGCCCGCCGUUUCCACCAACCAUAGCUUCGCCGUCGAGGACUACCUCGUCUCUACCUGCGGGCUUCCCCAAGCGCAGGCCCUCAAGGCCUCCCACAAGCUCGCCCACCUCAAGUCCCCAGCCAAUCCCGACGCCGUCCUCGCCUUCCUCGCCGGCCUCGGCCUCUCCGGCGCUGACGUGGCCGCCCUCGUCGCCAGGGACCCCCGGUUCCUCUGCGCCGGCGUGGGGACAAUACUGGCCCCCAACGUCGCCGCGCUCACCGGCCUUGGUCUCGCGUGCUCUGACAUCGCGCACCUCCUCUGGCACGCCCCCACAAGUUCCAUCGUCCCCAAUAUACACUACUGCCUUGUGCAUCUUCGGGUCCUACGAGAAUCUCCUCUCUGCUAUCAAGCGCAAAUCCUACAUUCUCUCGUCCGACCUCGACAGGGUGGUCAAGCCCACUGUCGCGCUCCUACGAGAGUUUGGGAUUGGUCCUUGUGA